GGGUCCGGACACACUGAGGAUUGACAGGCAAUAUUAAUACGUUUUGCUUCGGUAAACGCGUAUUAUGUUAAAUAUGCUAGUCCUUUCAUGAUUAUGUGAUAGGUGGUGCAUGGCCGUUCUUAGUUCGUGGAGUGAUCUGUCUGCUUAAUUGCGUUUCACUAAGGGCCUAUAAAUUUACGUGUGUUGCAUCGCACUUUGACCCCUUUCUUUAAUUAGAGAGCGCGUGUCUUAGUUUUCGCUUUGCUCAUACAAUUAGGUCCUGAAAGCAACGAACGUGACCGCAACCUCUUGUUGCCUUUAUACCAAACAUGUUUUGCGUCAAUUUUUACGAAUUGCGCGCAUUUCAUGAAAAAAGGCUUUUUAAAUUAGAGGGACCGCUGUUACUUUCUUAAACCAGAGGAAGGUUGCGGCAAUAACAGGUCUGUGAUGCCCUUAGAUGUUCCGGGCUGCACACGUGCUACAAUGAUUAUUGCAGUGAGCAUCUCAUUUUUACACACCGCAUGCGCGAGUCCAUUUAUUCACCUUCGGGUGUUUUAAAUGUGUAUCUCUGCGCGCGGUAAAGCCUGCUUCGACAGUAAGUGGGU
This 584-nucleotide ribosomal RNA is filed under the name Cibicidoides lobatulus. RNAcentral's name for it is "bacterial SSU rRNA". It matches the Rfam family "Eukaryotic small subunit ribosomal RNA", at positions 1220 to 1547 of the family's 1831-position model. Lineage: Eukaryota; Foraminifera; Rotaliida; Anomalinidae. The record is from RNAcentral.